CCUACGGGAGGCAGCAGUGGGGAAUUUUGGACAAUGGGCGCAAGCCUGAUCCAGCCAUGCCGCGUGCGGGAAGAAGGCCUUCGGGUUGUAAACCGCUUUUGUCAGGGAAGAAAUCCUUUGGGCUAAUACCUCGGAGGGAUGACGGUACCUGAAGAAUAAGCACCGGCUAACUACGUGCCAGCAGCCGCGGUAAUACGUAGGGUGCGAGCGUUAAUCGGAAUUACUGGGCGUAAAGCGUGCGCAGGCGGUUAUGCAAGACAGAUGUGAAAUCCCCGGGCUUAACCUGGGAACUGCAUUUGUGACUGCAUAGCUCGAGUACGGCAGAGGGGGAUGGAAUUCCGCGUGUAGCAGUGAAAUGCGUAGAUAUGCGGAGGAACACCGAUGGCGAAGGCAAUCCCCUGGGCCUGUACUGACGCCCAUGCACGAAAGCGUGGGGAGCAAACAGGAUUAGAUACCCUGGUAGUCCACGCCCUAAACGAUGUCAACUGGUUGUUGGACGGCUUGCUGUUCAGUAACGAAGCUAACGCGUGAAGUUGACCGCCUGGGGAGUCGGCCGCAAGGUUGAAACUUAAAGGAAUUGACGGCUGAGACGNGCGAGACGACGACGAGGGAGGAGG
Molecule: ribosomal RNA, 617 nt
Filed under: uncultured bacterium
Lineage: Bacteria
Description: bacterial SSU rRNA
Rfam family: Bacterial small subunit ribosomal RNA
Source: RNAcentral